This 66-nucleotide transfer RNA is filed under the name Empis caudatula. RNAcentral describes it as "tRNA-Arg". The record is from RNAcentral. Lineage: Eukaryota; Metazoa; Arthropoda; Insecta; Diptera; Empididae.
GAAUAUGAAGCGAUAAAUCGCAAUUAGUUUCGACCUAAUUAUAGAUGAUAAAUUCAUCCCUAUUCU